UCACCUGUUUUUCAAAAACAUGUCUUUUAGAAAUUAAUUUAAAGUCAAAUCUGCCCAAUGAAUUAAAUUUUAAUGGCUGCAGUAAUUUAACUGUACAAAGGUAGCAUAAUAAUUUGUUUUUUAAUUAAAAACUAGUAUGAAAGAUUUGAUGAAAUAAAAUCUGUUUCAAUUAAAUUUAAAUUUAAAUUUUUAUUUAAGUAAAAAAACUUAAAUUUUUUUUAAAGACGAUAAGACCCUAUAGAAUUUUAUUUAUUAAUUAAAUUAAUUUUUUAAUAAAUUUAAUUGGGGAAAUAAAAAAAUUUAAUUAACUUUUUUUAAAAAAUACAUUAUUUUAUGUAUAAAAAUAAAAUUAUCUUAAAUUUUAAAUUUAAAAAAUUAAUUACCUUAGGGAUAACAGCAUAAUUUUUUUUGAAAGUUCAUAUUUAUAAAAAAGUUUAUGACCUCG
RNAcentral lists this ribosomal RNA (445 nucleotides) under Braconinae sp. SY-2018. RNAcentral's name for it is "partial 16S ribosomal RNA". Lineage: Eukaryota; Metazoa; Arthropoda; Insecta; Hymenoptera; Braconidae. The record is from RNAcentral.